RNAcentral lists this ribosomal RNA (469 nucleotides) under uncultured bacterium. RNAcentral's name for it is "partial 16S ribosomal RNA". It matches the Rfam family "Bacterial small subunit ribosomal RNA", at positions 28 to 507 of the family's 1533-position model. The record is from RNAcentral.
GACGAACGCUGGCGGCGUGCUUAACACAUGCAAGUCGAACGAUGAUCUCCCGCUUGCGGGGGUGACUAGUGGCGAACGGGUGAGUAAUACGUGAGUAACCCGCCCUUUACUCUGGGAUAAGCCUUGGAAACCGGGUCUAAUACUGGAUACUACUUCCUGCCGCAUGGUGGGGGGUGGAAAGGGUUUUACUGGUUUUGGAUGGGCUCACGGCCUAUCAGCUUGUUGGUGGGGUAAUGGCUCACCAAGGCGAUGACGGGUAGCCGGCCUGAGAGGGUGACCGGCCACACUGGGACUGGGACACGGCCCAGGCUCCUACGGGGGGCAGCAGUGGGGAAUAUUGCACAAUGGGCGGGAGCCUGAUGCAGCGACGCCGCGUGGGGGAUGACGGCCUUCGGGUUGGAAACCUCUUUCAGCAGGGAAGGAGCCGCGAGUGACGGUACCUGCAGAAGAAGCGCCGGCUAACUACGUG